RNAcentral lists this transfer RNA (72 nucleotides) under Rhodospirillaceae bacterium. RNAcentral's name for it is "tRNA-Gln". It matches the Rfam family "tRNA". Rfam says of the family: Transfer RNA (tRNA) molecules are approximately 80 nucleotides in length. Lineage: Bacteria; Pseudomonadati; Pseudomonadota; Alphaproteobacteria; Rhodospirillales; Rhodospirillaceae. The record is from RNAcentral.
GGUCCUAUGGUCUAGUGGUCAUGACUCUGGUCUUUGAAUCCAGCAACCCCAGUUCGAAUCCGGGUAGGACCG